UAGGAUAGAGGCCUACCAUGGUGAUGACGGGUAACGGGGAAUAAGGGUUCGAUUCCGGAGAGAGGGCCUGAGAAACGGCCCUCAGGUCUAAGGACACGCAGCAGGCGCGCAAAUUAUCCCCUGGCAACACUUUGCCGAGAUAGUGACAAUAAAUAACAAUGCAGGGCUCUUACGGGUCUUGCAAUUGGAAUGAGUACAAUUUAAAUCCCUUAACGAGUAUCCAUUGGAGGGCAAGUCUGGUGUCAGCAGCCGCGGUAAUUCCAG
This 264-nucleotide ribosomal RNA is filed under the name Prasinoderma coloniale. RNAcentral describes it as "partial Eukaryotic small subunit ribosomal RNA". It matches the Rfam family "Eukaryotic small subunit ribosomal RNA", at positions 329 to 588 of the family's 1831-position model. Lineage: Eukaryota; Viridiplantae; Prasinodermophyta; Prasinodermophyceae; Prasinodermales; Prasinodermaceae. The record is from RNAcentral.